GACUGAAUUUGGAGAAGGAGCAGGGGACUGAAAAUCCCCGUGUCGGUGGUUCGAUUCCGCCUCUGGGCACCA
Molecule: transfer RNA, 72 nt
Filed under: Clostridioides difficile
Lineage: Bacteria; Bacillati; Bacillota; Clostridia; Peptostreptococcales; Peptostreptococcaceae
Description: tRNA-Phe(gaa)
Source: RNAcentral